GCGCAAUAUAAUGAACCAUAAAUGCCGUUAAGGCUGUCAUCCGCUCAGCUUGCCAAUAGCUUUAUAUCUAUAAGAAAGAGACUGCAAUGAGACGCCUUCUGCAUUUUACAUAUACUAAGCCUUAAGGUCCAAACCAGAUGUAAUUUCUUACAGCAUAGCUCGCCAUUAUCAUGCAUAUUAAGGUAUAUGGACGCAUAAAAACACUUUUGUUGUUAGCUAGCGACGAAGUGCUAAAAACAGUAACGGUGAGAUCAAAAAUUGGUUGCUUUGCCAAAUUUACCGUCCGUUUUCAACCGGGUUCUUCAGGCGCCGCAGCGAAUGUGAUGUCAAUGAAACUUUCGAAAGAAAGACUGUUUCAAAAAUUGUCAUGAAUGGGAUUUGAGCUCAUGCCACCUUAAACGAGACAAAUGUCAUUUCUUCGCCUGCACUUCCUACCAAUUGUUUCUAUGUUCAUAUUUAUUAUUUAUGUCGGGACGGCGCGAACGCCAUUCCCGGCUACCAAAAAUUACACGCACGAGUUAUUCACAUUAGGAAUAAUCGCAGAGGUCAACUCAGCCGAAGUGCAAUGGCCAAGCCUCACUCCGGAGGAACCGCCUUCGUGAUCACGGUUCACCUCUACGCCAGGUAAGUAUGCUUUUCUGCGCUCGGCAUUAAACUUUCGUUGCUCGCACGACUAGAACCAGUUGGGAAUUCUAUGUCAUUGAAAGUUGUAUGAAGUCUGAAACUGACAAACAACCCCCAGAGGUAUAAGACGCAACGAAUGUUGAUGUCAGCUGUUUUGGACACGAGUUCAAACCCCA
Molecule: long non-coding RNA, 800 nt
Filed under: Drosophila guanche
Lineage: Eukaryota; Metazoa; Arthropoda; Insecta; Diptera; Drosophilidae
Source: RNAcentral